Molecule: long non-coding RNA, 1178 nt
Organism: Gadus macrocephalus (Pacific cod)
Lineage: Eukaryota; Metazoa; Chordata; Actinopteri; Gadiformes; Gadidae
Exons: 2
Source: RefSeq, a predicted model, not a curated record
CAGGGUGCGAUUUGUGAAAAAACCAGAGGGGGGGAUAAUUUUGAGAAACAUUUUAUUCAGGAAAAAUAACCACACAACAGUGUGAAAACUUAUGAAAACAGUUGAUUUUGUGACCUUGUGUAUCUAAACCUUACACUUAGGCUUCAUAAUAACGUAGGCGGUAGGCCUAUUUUGAACGUGAAUUUAACCACUGCAUUUGCAGAAAUAUUUUCUCAUAGCUAAUAUUGUUUUUAAAUGUGCCAAAUAUAAAAAUAUAUAUAUUUUUUCCCCGAUAUCAGUUCAACAGAAAAUAUGAAAUACCACAAUGUGCUGUCAAGACGUUUUUUUUUUUUUUUAUGGGUUAAUCGGGUAGACUAUAGGUCAGACUACGAAAACAGUCCGCUCUGAUGACGCACUUCAGCCUCUUUUUUUUGCUCUCCUGUUGGCGGAUCGAUAGCAGCGUGGUGACCCUGCUUCAACCACAUCUCUGCAAAUCUGAGGGCCGGGAAGGAGGCAACAUCUGGUGCAUUUACAGAGAUGAAAAGCAGAUUGUGCAGUGUGGACACAUUCAUUCUGUUUCUGCCAUCUGUAAGAAUGUGGUUUAUGGCGCUGAAACCUCUAUCACACUCGGCUGUGGACACUGGGAGCGUGGAGACAGCGGUGAGAACUUUGCGCAUGCUCUCUCCUGUGACACCGUGACAUUUAAACUCAUGGAACUCCUUCAGGAGUAUGGGACUGGUUGCGGCCACAACAGCAAGAGUUUUGUGUAUGGCGAGAAGUUUUUCAUCGCCGUAGAGGAUGCGCUCGUCUUCAUCAGAUGGCCAGUUUGAUGGAUUUAGAACGGCGGCGGCAGAGAUUAUCCCGUUGUCAUCCAGCCUGCGCUCAAUCGCGACGCCUCUGACUCGCUCCCGGUAGAUCAAAAUCACAUCACAAUCAAAAUGAAGACGGACCCUGUGUAUUUUGGUUGUUAAUUAUUACGAUGUAAUGGUGAAAAUACUUUGGGUGGGGGGGAUUUUUAUCCCCACCGAGGAUAAAAAUAAUUCAGCAGAGGGUAGGACGUGUAAACCAGAGGGGGGGAUAAUCCCCACCAUCCAAAACCGGCAAAUCGCACCCUGGCUAUGUGUCAGGCUUCAGGAUUUAGGAGAUAGUAUUAACCUAAGGGGUUUAUAUAUAUUCAAGAAAUAAAUCAAGUGUGUGUG